AAAGGAGACAGUCCUGGACAGUUGGAUUGGGGAAACCUGCAGUAGUCCCUAGAACGCCAGGAUUUAUUAGUGGAAAACUCAGAGGACUGGAGCUAGAAGAGGCCUCUCUGGCUUUGGAGAAAAACCAAGGUUUCAGGUUCCACGGUUCAGCUCUCUUUCCUGGUUCUCCUGCACCUCUAAAUCGCCCAAACUGAGCCCGGGAGAUUUCGGAGGUCAAAUCUAUGACCUGCUUCGGCCUCCUAGGCCUGACCCCCCUUCCAACAGACGCUCCUUCAGGACAGCGUCACAGCCUCCAAGGAGACAGGGGCCUGCCUCUACCAUCUCUGCGUAAUGAAGAAAAUAGCUCCGGAUGAUGACAAAUUCUGGUGACUAAAAUAGGGUCCAACGCAUUUUGAGACCUCAAUCCUGUAAUGGAUGGGGAGAGUGCUGUGAGUCACUCCUCUCUCCUCUUUCCUACUGGUCAAGGUCACGAUGGCCUGAUUCCCUGCAGCUCCAAGUUGGGGAAACGUGGCAAGGAAUACCUUUGAUCAGGGAAUAUGAACCUAAGCCUCAGGCUCCACCAUCUGCCAGAGAAAUGGCUCGGGUGCCAGACCUCAAGGUCACACUGGAAAGCAAACCUUGAUAGCUCACCUAGGUCCAAGACCGACGGACUCCUUGACGUCCUGAGAAGGGGAGGGGUUCAGAGUGCUGGUAGGUGGGCUAGGAGGAAACUGGUUCUAGAAAGGCCUGACGUACGUCCCAACCCGGGGUGCGGGAGAAGCAGGUAGUCUGUAGGUGGCGCCCUGGGGCAGGCUUGGUUCUUUGCUGCCCUGAUGAUUUCAAAGGUAGCCUUCCUCAGGGAACACAGGCAGUGUAAAUUCGUCCCUGGGAAAAUAGAAAUUGCCCUUAUAACUGCAGUGGUUGAACAAGGCAGAAUAUUGUGCAAUGUUUCUGUCUUUAGUACACUGUCAGUAUCUUUCAGAGGCCCUAACACACACACAUACACCCAUUCUCCUUGACCACAAAUUUCAUCCCUGUCCACUGUUUCCAGGCUGCCAUUGUAAAGAAAAAAACACCUAGCAACGAAUAAACUAAACCACACCAAGGAGGAAAGGAUGCCAUCUUGGAAGAUGAAUAUGUUAAAACAGGAGAAUCUCUGGAGAAAGCAGUGUUUAAGGAAAGCAUAUGAUGGUUUGAAUUUCUGGUCAUGGGGAAAUGGGAGAGCAUCUCCCAGAAGCAUUCAAAACGCAUCACACACAUAACCUCCUACUCUGCUAGGAGGUUAGUAACUGAUUAGCAGGAAUUUACCAUGCCAAGAUCUUGGGAGAAUAAUUGAGAUAAUAACCGAUGCUUAUGAAAUGCAUGUUAACCCCCAGGUGUUGCCUUAAGCACUUGGUGAGCAUUAGCACUUUUAAUCAUAAUCUUCAUAAUACUCCUAUGAGAAAGCUAUUACUAACCUCCUUUUACAAAUAAGACUUGCACAAAAAUCAAAUAGCUAGGAAGUCAGAAUCGAUGCAAGCAGUUGGCAGCGUGGCUCAGUGGUAGAGGUGUUUAUACACAGGCCUAAGGGCCUGAAUUUAAUCCCUUGGGCCCACAAAGUAGCAGAAAAGUUAUUUCCCCUGAGAGUUGUGUACACACACACACCACACAUACAUCGUAUACCGCACACAAAUUUAAACAGUGCAAGCACCAGACACCUACAGCCCUGCAUCCCAGACUUGGAGAAGUCUUCCUUGUAGACCUUAAAGACCUUUGAUAUAAGCCAAAGACUUCUUCACAAUGCCUGGCCCACAGUCCCAGGGGAAAGGCUAAAUUAAGUUAUGUGGGUGCUUAAUAUUUAUAAUUAGCUCAUUAAAGUUUUAAAUAUGAAACCAUAUCUUCUUCAUCUAAGUUCAAAGUUAAAAUCAUAUUUUACCCAUAAAAUAAGAAGUUAUAAAAUAAAGGUAAACAUUCCUUAAUAUUUAGCCAAUUCAAGAGGAAUAGGCUGAAAUCCUCUAAUUUUCAGACCCAAGUUACAUCACCACAGGCUUGAUUUAAACAUUUUUCAAAUACUGACUUAUAUGAUCCACUUCAUAACUAUUAAUGUCAAGGCAUCCCUGUUUAACAGGCGAGGGAACCGAGACAAAAACUGUUGGAUCUUGCCUGGGACUGUGAUAUGGGUUUUAAAAGCUGGGACUUGCAUCUAGGCCAUUAGCAUCAAGCUUUGUAAAGAGCCAAUCAAUGAACACGUUUGGAUCUACACUGUCUGUCCCUGCUUCUCUGUCAUUUCACAAUAGGGCCAUAGAACAAGCAUGGCGGUAUUCCAGUCAAAGUUCUUGUGAGCAAUGAAGAUACUGCUUCAUUUAACUUCCACGAUAAACCAUUCUUAUAACUUUAUUUCAAUUGCUUUAAGGGGGGGGACCCCACAUGCCCAGCUUUUAGACUGUACGAAAACAGGGCACAGGCUCCGUCGUGCUUUGCUGGCCUCUGACCUAGAUAGCCCAGUUCCUGGAUCUUAUUUUUCACUGUGUAACCAGACUCAAGCUUGCUGCAAUUCCCAAGCCUCCACAUCCUGUAUGCUAGGAUCGUGGACAUGAGCUGCUGUGCCUGGCUUCAAUGGAGAGGGGCAUUAUGGUGGUUCUCAUGUAGCCCAGGCAGGCCUUGAAUUCCCGGUCCUAGUUCUCCCUUCUGAGUGCUGGUAUUACACACGUGUGACACCACACCCCUUGCUGAGAUGAGCUCUGUCCCUGCCGGGAUCCCUAGGCUGAUUUCCUGACCAAUAAUGAAAUCCACUUCUAGCUUAUAACUUAACCAAUUUUGUCAAUUCUGUGUUCUUUAAGUGCAAUUUACAUUUACACAAUUUCACUUGAACAAACAAAUUUCUUUGUACGUUUUCAAGUCCACAUUCUUUUCUCUUGGAGGGGGAUGCUUUAGUUUGUUCUUGUUCUUGUUCUUACUGUUGUUCUUGUUUUUAAGACCAGAAUCCAUCAAGACAUAGUAGUGCACAACUUUAAUCCCAGUACUUGGGAUGCAGAGGCAGGCAGAUCUCUGAGUC
This 3013-nucleotide long non-coding RNA is filed under the name Mus musculus (house mouse). RNAcentral's name for it is "long non-coding RNA chr6:124415201-124418214". Lineage: Eukaryota; Metazoa; Chordata; Mammalia; Rodentia; Muridae. The record is from RNAcentral.